Molecule: ribosomal RNA, 157 nt
Filed under: Arthroderma uncinatum
Lineage: Eukaryota; Fungi; Ascomycota; Eurotiomycetes; Onygenales; Arthrodermataceae
Description: 5.8S ribosomal RNA
Rfam family: 5.8S ribosomal RNA
About the family: 5.8S ribosomal RNA (5.8S rRNA) is a component of the large subunit of the eukaryotic ribosome.
Source: RNAcentral
AACUUUCAACAACGGAUCUCUUGGUUCCGGCAUCGAUGAAGAACGCAGCGAAAUGCGAUAAGUAAUGUGAAUUGCAGAAUUCCGUGAAUCAUCGAAUCUUUGAACGCAAAUUGCGCCCCCUGGUAAUUCCGGGGGGCAUGCCUGUUCGAGCGUCAUU